RNAcentral lists this unclassified non-coding RNA (353 nucleotides) under soil metagenome. RNAcentral describes it as "partial contains 5.8S ribosomal RNA, internal transcribed spacer 2, and large subunit ribosomal RNA". The stretch from base 1 to 120 matches the Rfam family "5.8S ribosomal RNA", at positions 35 to 154 of the family's 154-position model. The record is from RNAcentral.
GAUGAAGAACGUAGCGAAAUGCGAUAAGUAAUGUGAAUUGCAUAAUUCAGUGAAUCAUCGAAUCUUUGAACGCACAUUGCGCCCGCCAGUAUUCUGGCGGGCAUGCCUGUUCGAGCGUCAUUACAACCCUCAGGCCCCCGGGCCUGGCGUUGGGGAUCGGCGGAAGCCCCCUGCGGGCACAACGCCGUCCCCCAAAUACAGUGGCGGUCCCGCCGCAGCUUCCAUUGCGUAGUAGCUAACACCUCGCAACUGGAGAGCGGCGCGGCCACGCUGUAAAACACCCAACUUCUGAAUGUUGACCUCGAAUCAGGUAGGAAUACCCGCUGAACUUAAGCAUAUCAAUAAGCGGAGGA